This 58-nucleotide transfer RNA is filed under the name Cyrtodactylus cayuensis. RNAcentral's name for it is "partial tRNA-Tyr". The record is from RNAcentral. Lineage: Eukaryota; Metazoa; Chordata; Lepidosauria; Squamata; Gekkonidae.
GCCGAGCAGGUGGCGGGCUGUAAACCCGUCGACGGGGCGCACGCGCCCCCCCGACCAA